Molecule: long non-coding RNA, 1871 nt
Organism: Sphaerodactylus townsendi
Lineage: Eukaryota; Metazoa; Chordata; Lepidosauria; Squamata; Sphaerodactylidae
Exons: 3
Source: RefSeq, a predicted model, not a curated record
GACUGCCUUUGCAAAAGAAUUUGACAUCCAGUUGCUAACUCAUAAUGAUCCAAAAGAACUACUUUGCGAAGCAGGCUUCCAAGAAGCUCUUCAAGAAAGUAUCCCAGAAUGCCAAGUACAUGAAUGGACUCCACUGUGGCUUCUGCGGUAUUCAGUUAUUGUGAAGAGCAGAGGAAUUAUCAAAUCCAAAGGCUACAUCUUGCAAGCAAGAAGAAUACCAUCAUCUUAAGACUUCUGACAGGGCCUGCUUCCGAAAAGACCCUGUCUCUACAAGGCUUUGCACCAGUGUGCAAAUUAGAAAAUUCAAAAGAACAAAUGUGUUAUUAUGAAGUGGUCAGUGAUGCCCAAAUUGUAUAGUGGUAUAGCUGUGUGACAGCAUAGUUGAUCCAUCAGUUUUCUCUUCUUUUCUUACAUGCUUUCUGUAUGGAAACCAGCUUGCUCAAAUGGGAAAUAGUUGUUGUCACUAAACUGGAGUUUGCUAAUUUAGAGAUGAUAUAUAAAUAAAAGUAUUUGAAAUAUUUUAAUGAGUAAUAUAAACUAAAAAUAUUUGACUAACUAUAUUUUGAUUGAAAUAUUUUUUAUUUGUAAGGGGAAAUAUACCUUGUUUUCUUAUUGGUAGCUGUUGUGGCAGAAGAAAAUGUAUAAAUACUGGUGGAAUAAGUAGUUUUCCAGCUUAAGCCUAUGAAAUAAAACAAAGUGUAUGCAAGCAGAAUUGCUCAAUAUAGUAAUGAAUGUAUAUUUGAUAUUUUCCACAUCAUUGUAAGGGUCAUAUGCCUCUUGUAUUAAGAUUAAAUUAUUAUUAUUAUUUUCUUCUGAGGCACAUCUCUCUGAGACUCCUCUCUCUUGUACUUGGUUUAUGACCAAGAGAGCUGGUGGAAGAACACUGAAAACAAAGUUAACUUUAUCAAAGCUUGGCUGUUAUUGCUUUUGCUGGUGUUUUAGGGGCCAUACACAUUUUGAAAACCAUAAAAGGCUAAUGCUUGAUAUGUUUAUAUAAACCCAAGUAUUGCAUACACAGUAGAGUAUUGUGCAAUUAAUCUGUCUUACUUGGAGGAUACAAAGAAAAAUGUGCUCUCAAAACCAACCAAUAGUCCAGCCAUUAUUCACUUACCAUUAUUCAGAAAACAUGCUACCGGUAUUUGAACAAUAUUAAAUAUAAUGCACUAGUGAAGAAUUUCCUGGGAGAUGGCAAACAUUAUCUGGAACUUCUACAUUCAUAUCACAAAUAAUGUUUGUCAUAGGCAGCUAGAAUGUAUCAUCUUUUUUGUAUUCAUAAUAUACCUGCACAGGUUAGUGGUUCCACUGGUUAAACAUCUUAUACUUUUAUUUAUAAAGCCUGUGGUUGACAUUUCAUUCAUCAGCUUUUACAUGGAGAGUUCACUUCCAUUGAAAUUAUAGGGCAUUACUAAUGAAUGUUGCAUGAGGUUUAAACAGUAGUUGGUUUGGUACAGUCUUGGACAACUAAUGGAAUAGACUUCUGUGCAACAUUUCAGAUGGUUCUGGAGUAACCUUUGAAUUUCUCCUUAAAGCAUUUGAAUAGUUCUAGAGACAGUGAUUGAAAACAAAUAGGAUGUAUGUGUAUGUUGAAUGUUCAGGAAAAUGUUUAUAUGCAAAAUUAGGGUUGAUUACAAAACUGUUUGAACUUUGACUGUAAAGAGGCAAAAUUGUAUGUGGGCCUGUUUCAAAAUUAACAUUUUUACUUAAAACUGUGCCGAAUGUGCUUUUUACUAGUUUGAGAUUAUUGUUGAUAAAGGAAACUUUUACAGAAAUCUGCUGGUAACAGUUUGUCCCUUGUGCAUCAGUGCAGGCAUUCAGGUUCUUGUUCCAGUUUUUUUUUAAUAAAACACUUUGGCCUGUUUUUCCUCCUUUGA